This 914-nucleotide long non-coding RNA is filed under the name Equus caballus (horse). RNAcentral describes it as "lncRNA (ENSECAG00000053966.1)". The record is from RNAcentral. Lineage: Eukaryota; Metazoa; Chordata; Mammalia; Perissodactyla; Equidae.
AACAAACCCUAAAAUUAAAGGCAUAUGUGAGCUGAUGCAUCAGUUUGGGAUAGCUGAACGUCCCAGAAGCAGGGGGGGAUUGUACUCACCCUCAAGCUUUUUCCCACAGGCUUCCAGAGGAUCCUCACAAAAAGACUGGAGACAGGGUAAGAGAUGUGAGAGAGCCACCUCACUAAUGCAGGUAUGAGGAAGCAAUGGGCGGCUGUUAGGGGUUGGGCACAGGCCUUACUUACUUCUUUGCGUUCUUCUCUCUCAUGAAGCAAAAGCCUUAAAUCACUGAGGGGAGGGGCAGCAAACCUCUUACCAAAGACCCAUCGCAUCUAAGGGGAGUAGAAGCAAAAUCCACCUGCUUCUGGAGGAGAGGCAAGAAACCAUCUUGGAUCUUGAAUCUUACCAAUCAGAGUUCUGCUCCCACUGGUGGAGAGGCAAGAAACUCCUGCACAAGACCAACCUCAGAAACAAGACAGAGUUUGGUUGCCAUUGUCAGGAUGUGUAGACAUAUUGAGGAAGCUCCACCUCCAAGACUGUAUAGGGCCUGACAAAGAAUCAGGCUGGAACAGGACAGCAGAGAAUUCCCCCUGCAACAGCAUUCUACAGAUGGAUGAGGAGCAAGAGUGUGGGCAGAGACCGAAUGCUGGAGGAGGAGCAGAAACCAUCAGAGAAACCCUCCAGCACUCUGUCUCCCAUCCCAAGCACCAGGGAUUAGUAGCCCAACUGCUUCUGUAUUUUGAUACUUCAACAUCUGGGGCCUUGCUGAACCUGGAGGGACUGCCCCUCCAAGAGAUAGCUAAUUCCUAGAGAGAGCCAGCAACUUACCUGCCAGCAUGUCUUUAAUAGACAAACCAACCAAUCCAGAGCUCACACUCCUAACCAGUUCCUCUAAUGGGCUCUCACACUCAAGACCACUAUUCCCC